Molecule: long non-coding RNA, 1878 nt
Filed under: Homo sapiens (human)
Lineage: Eukaryota; Metazoa; Chordata; Mammalia; Primates; Hominidae
Description: HSALNT0093443
Source: RNAcentral
GUGAAUUUGAUGUAUCACAUGUCAUUUGAGACUUUUUAUUAUAGAAAAUUUCAAAUACAUAUGACAGUUGAGGGAAGUCCUGUGUACCAGUCACACUGCUUUAAUAAUAAUCCACUCAUAUGCCAUCUAGUUUCAUCUGUACUCUUACAUGUACCGUUUUAAAAAAACUGGAUUAUUUUAAAACAAAUCCAAAAUAUUAUAGCAUCUUAUUUCCAAAAGAGGAGGGCAUGUAAAACAAUACCUAACCCCAAUACUAUUAUCACACUGAAGAAAAGUCUUAAUAUCAUUAAGUAUUCAGUAAAUUACAUCACAUAUAUGUUGACUUGCAUGAAAGCUUUACUAAACCUUGAAAACAAACAAAAUUAUUUUUUGAUAGUUCUGAUGUUUAUGGAAAAUCAAAGUAUUUUUGUGAGACCAUAGCUUCUAGUACUUGGCCAGGUAGUUCAUGAAAUAUAUAUUGACUUUAAUUUGAUUUUUUCUCCUUUCAACUGUGAAACAAAAGUGUCUACUAUUGCUUUUUUUUUCCUGUUUCAAUUGCCCUGUUUAAUGUGUAAAAUCCUGCUUCAUAUAAUUAUAAUACCAUAGGACACCUUACACUCAUUAUUAAAAGUAUAAAUAAUAUUACAUUAACUGUUUUUUCUGUUAUUUAUUUUAAGAACUUCUUCACACCACUAUGAACACUGUCAAUUUCAUUUGAAUGCUACAUAUUUUCCAUCAUUUACUUCUCUGACAACUUUCUUCCAGUGUAUUCUACCUUCCUGACUAUUGAGAUUCUAUGUCUUUUUUUUUAUUACUUUGAAUAGAAUGGUCUGAAGAAAACUUACUUCUUUAACAAAAAUGACAUAUUAUUAUACCUCAAGUUUUGGAAAGAAGCUGACUUGCGAAAUGACAUGACAGGUAUGCUGAACUAAAAGUCACCCACUCUUUCAUACAGUCACAGUAUGCUUGUGUGAUACCCCAGAGACAAGAUGCUCUAAAUAUUAGCACAGUGCACAGUGGCAACUACAAAGGAAAAUUAAUCUGGGGAGCCUCUAUAUCAGUUCCCUGAAUUUCUCAAUUUCUGUUUCUCUUAUUUGCAGUUCAAGCUUUUCACUAGAACGAACCAAUGUAAAAUGUGUUAACUGGGAUAAUGUAAUAAAAGUUUUUGGUAAGAAUGGAUAGAAGGAGAUGGGAAAGAAGGAUCCACAUUAAUUGAUUUCCUAGCAUAUGUCAGGCAAUGUAAUUUUGUCAUGUCAUUGAAUUUUUAAUACAACCCUAGGAAGAAGGCAUUAUCUCUGUUUUAAGACUGUAGAAACUGAGAUUAGAUUAAGUUACUUUCCUUUUCUUUUUCUUUUUUUUAAAUUUUUUUAUUAUUAUUACAUUUCAAGUUUUAGUGUACAUGUGCACAAUGUGCAGGUUUGUUACAUAUAUAUAUAUAUAUAUAUGUGCCAUGUUGGUGUGCUGCACCCAUUAACUCGUCAUUUAACAUUAGGUAUAUCUCCUAAUGCUAUCCUUCCCCCCUCACCCCACCCGAAAACAGGCCCUGGAUUGUGAUGUUCCCCUUCCUGUGUCCCUGUGUUCCAUUGUUCAAUUCCCACCUAUGAGUGAGAACAUGCGGUGUUUGGUUUCUUUGUCCUGGCGAUAGUUUCCUGAGAAUGAUGGUUUCCAGUUUCAUCCAUGUCCCUACAAAGGACAUGAACUCAUCCUUUUUUAUGGCUGCAUAGUAUUCCAUGGUGUAUAUGUGCCACAUUUUCUUAAUCCAUUUUAUCAUUAUUGGACAUUUGGGUUGGUUCCAAGUCUUUGUUAUUGUGAAUAGUGCCGCAAUAAACAUAUGUGUGCAUGUGUCUUUAUAGCAGCAUGAUUUAUAAUCCUUUGGGUAUAUACCCAGUAAUGGGAUGG